Passer montanus (Eurasian tree sparrow) is the source of this 5689-nucleotide RNA transcript. It is a transcript of the gene named glutamate ionotropic receptor AMPA type subunit 3, with no coding region annotated. The record is from RefSeq and is a predicted model, not a curated record. The transcript has 17 exons. Lineage: Eukaryota; Metazoa; Chordata; Aves; Passeriformes; Passeridae.
GCUUUAAAGGGGCAGCUGCAGCCCGGGGGCCGCCCCACGUGAGGCCGGUGCGCUCCUGCCGACCGCAGCCCCGAGCGCUGAGCCGCGGCCGGAGCCGCCGGGGCUGGGCGGGCGGGCCGAGCGGAGCGGAGCGGAGCGGAGGGCUGCCAGCCCGCCUCACGCCAAGUUUGAUCGAUAACCCCCUCCCGGCCCGGGCGGAGCAGCCUCGGCGGCUCCGCUACCCACCAUCUUUGGGGGAAGUCCCUGCGUUGGGGGGGGGCUGCUGGCGACGGGGGAGAAAGGCAAUCUCGCAGCCAAUGAGCCCUGCUAGACUGGGGUGAAGACGAGAGCAGAGGGAUUUGGGGAAGGAAAGAAUAAAAAAAAGAGACGAAAGGAGGGGGACCAUCCUCCCCACCACCUCCGCCAGCAUCGCCACCGCCGUUGACACCGCUCCGAGUCUCCAGUUGCGCCCAUGCCUGUGCCGCCAGUUUCGGUUUAGGGGCUGAACCGCAGGGGCUGAAGAAAAUGGGGCAGAGCGCGCCCCGGACCCUCCUGCUGCUGCUGGCGGGGCUGCUGGGGGAGGCUCUGGCGGGGUUCCCCAACACCAUCAGUAUAGGUGGACUUUUCAUGAGGAACACUGUUCAGGAGCACAGUGCAUUUCGAUUUGCUGUGCAGCUAUACAACACAAACCAAAAUACCACAGAAAAGCCCUUCCAUUUGAACUAUCACGUAGAUCACUUGGACUCUUCCAACAGUUUUUCAGUGACAAAUGCUUUCUGUUCACAGUUUUCCAGAGGAGUUUAUGCCAUCUUUGGAUUCUAUGACCAGAUGUCCAUGAACACCCUGACGUCGUUCUGUGGAGCCCUUCACACGUCCUUCAUCACCCCGAGCUUCCCGACGGAUGCAGAUGUGCAGUUCGUCAUCCAGAUGCGGCCAGCCUUGAAAGGAGCCAUCUUGAGCCUCUUGACUUACUAUAAGUGGGAAAAGUUUGUGUACCUCUAUGACACAGAACGGGGAUUUUCCAUUCUUCAGGCAAUUAUGGAAGCAGCAGUACAGAACAACUGGCAAGUGACAGCCAGAUCUGUAGGAAGCAUAAAAGAUGUUCAAGAGUUCAGAAGAAUUAUAGAGGAGAUGGACAGACGGCAAGAAAAAAGAUACUUAAUUGACUGUGAAGUAGACAGAAUCAACACCAUUUUGGAACAGGUUGUAAUCCUUGGCAAACAUUCUAGAGGCUAUCACUACAUGUUAGCUAACCUGGGUUUCACGGACAUUGUUCUGGAAAGAGUAAUGCAUGGAGGUGCCAACAUUACUGGAUUCCAGAUUGUUAAUAAUGAAAAUCCAAUGGUUCAACAGUUUCUACAGCGCUGGAUGAGGCUUGAUGAAAGGGAAUUCCCUGAAGCCAAAAACUCACCAUUAAAGUACACGUCUGCACUGACCCAUGAUGCAGUCCUGGUCAUAGCAGAGGCUUUCCGGUACCUCCGAAGGCAGCGUGUGGAUGUCUCCAGGAGAGGCAGUGCUGGAGACUGCCUGGCUAACCCUGCAGUGCCAUGGAGCCAAGGAAUUGAUAUAGAAAGAGCACUGAAAAUGGUGCAGGUUCAAGGAAUGACAGGGAACAUCCAGUUCGACACCUAUGGGCGGAGAACAAAUUACACAAUUGAUGUGUAUGAAAUGAAAGCUGCUGGAUCAAGGAAGGCUGGUUAUUGGAAUGAAUAUGAAAGAUAUGUGCCAGCAUUAGAUCAGCUGCCCUCUAAUGACUCUUCAUCUGUGGAGAACAGAACCAUAGUAGUCACUACCAUCUUGGAAUCACCAUAUGUAAUGUAUAAGAAAAACCAUGAACAACUAGAAGGGAAUGAGAGAUAUGAAGGAUAUUGUGUAGACUUAGCUUCUGAAAUAGCAAAACAUGUUGGAAUAAAAUACAAACUGUCAAUUGUUGGAGAUGGGAAAUAUGGAGCUAGGGACCCUGAGACUAAGAUAUGGAAUGGCAUGGUGGGUGAACUGGUCUAUGGGAGAGCAGAUAUAGCUGUUGCCCCCCUCACCAUAACAUUGGUACGAGAAGAAGUCAUAGACUUUUCCAAACCCUUUAUGAGCUUGGGCAUCUCCAUCAUGAUCAAGAAGCCUCAGAAAUCUAAACCAGGCGUGUUCUCUUUCCUGGAUCCUUUGGCUUAUGAAAUUUGGAUGUGUAUAGUCUUUGCUUACAUUGGCGUCAGCGUAGUUCUUUUCCUAGUCAGCAGAUUCAGCCCUUAUGAGUGGCACUUGGAAGACAACACUGAAGAACCACGUGACCCUCAGAAUCCUCCUGACCCUCCAAAUGAGUUUGGAAUAUUUAACAGCCUUUGGUUUUCCCUGGGUGCCUUUAUGCAGCAAGGAUGCGAUAUUUCUCCAAGAUCUCUCUCAGGGCGAAUUGUCGGAGGAGUCUGGUGGUUCUUCACUCUCAUCAUUAUCUCUUCCUACACUGCUAAUCUCGCUGCCUUCCUUACGGUGGAAAGGAUGGUUUCACCCAUAGAGAGUGCAGAGGACCUGGCUAAACAAACUGAAAUAGCCUAUGGCACUUUGGAUUCAGGCUCAACCAAAGAAUUCUUUAGAAGGUCAAAAAUAGCUGUCUAUGAGAAAAUGUGGUCAUACAUGAAGUCGGCCGAGCCCUCGGUGUUCACCAAGACGACGGCGGACGGGGUGGCCAGGGUGCGGAAGUCCAAGGGCAAGUUUGCCUUCCUGCUGGAGUCCACCAUGAACGAGUACAUCGAGCAGCGCAAGCCCUGCGACACCAUGAAAGUUGGAGGCAACCUGGAUUCCAAGGGCUAUGGUGUAGCAACCCCCAAAGGCUCAGCAUUAAGAAAUGCUGUUAACCUGGCAGUAUUAAAACUGAAUGAGCAAGGCCUCUUGGACAAAUUGAAAAACAAAUGGUGGUACGACAAAGGAGAGUGCGGCAGCGGGGGAGGUGACUCCAAGAACUCCUGUAAACCUUGCAGUAUUGAAACUCAGUGAACAAGGCAUCUUAGACAAGCUGAAAAACAAAUGGUGGUACGAUAAGGGUGAAUGUGGAGCCAAGGACUCCGGAAGUAAGGACAAGACGAGCGCUCUGAGCCUGAGCAAUGUUGCUGGCGUGUUCUAUAUCCUUGUGGGAGGCCUGGGGCUGGCCAUGAUGGUGGCACUGAUCGAGUUCUGCUACAAGUCUCGGGCUGAGUCCAAGAGAAUGAAGCUCACCAAGAACACGCAGAACUUCAAACCUGCUCCUGCCACCAACACCCAGAAUUAUGCUACCUACAGGGAAGGCUACAACGUGUACGGCACAGAAAGUGUGAAAAUCUAGGGAUCUUCACCCUGACAGCAUGCAAGACAAAAAGCAGCAGAGAAUGUGGCUACUUCGUGGAUUUGGACCAUCUGAGCCAGUUGUACUCUCUCCGAGGUGUCAGGCAUGACACGCAUUGAUGAUGGUGCAAUGUACUUUUAAUAGGAAAAACUGGUAUUUUUUCCUUCAGUGCCUUAUGGAAGACUCUGAGACUCACAACAAUGCAAACCAUCACUGAAAUAUUCUUGCUUUGCUUCAAAGAAGUAAAAGAAAAAGAAGAGAGGAAAAGAAAAGAAAAAGAAAAGAAAAAAGAAACAAAGGGAAAAAGAAAAGGACUGGUAACAAGAUAUUGGUAUGUGAAAAAAAAAAUUCUUGUAAAAAAAGAUCAGUGCAACAAAAGCCAUUCUUUGAUACCACUGCACAGUAACUGAACUUGUGUCCUGAAAGCAAGCGCAGCUGGUUUCAUCAGCCACCCCAGUCGUAUCAAAUUAUGAAACUCCUCCUGACACCAAGCCUCAGAAAUCUGCUGCGUGCAAACGCGGACUGGCCUGCCACUGCUUGUAUGAGCUGAUGUCAAGAUGUUUCAGUAUUUACUUACAGUGGUGUCAUUUUAUUUUUUUUUCUGAGCCACUUUAACCUCUCCAGCUAAUUUGAGCAAUUCUGUAUAGCAGCAAAAAGGAGGGAAAGAAUCCGUGCAUUCAAAUCAAUUAAGGUCAAUGACUGUGAAUCUGUAAAUCCAAAAGAAAGUAAUUUGUGGAACUGCAUGUCUUGCUUCCAGAUCAGUAAAUUAAUUUCUUGACAAGGUAGCUAAAGUGUGGAAGAAAAUAUUGCAUUCCUUUUUUUUUGUUCUAUCAUCAGGCAUACCUACAGGUGCUUUAUUAAAAUGACAUUGGGUGGCUUUUAAAAUUAAAAAAAAAGAGGAAAAGCUACUUGCUGUUUAAGUUCAGACCAUAUAUCUCUUUUCUUGCUGUGCAUUUGCAUUUUAAUUCACUGUUUAAUAUCAAGCAAUGAAGCAAGAGAAAGGCAGGUUAGUUUUUCCCAGGCCUGCUUCUGCUUCUCCCCAGUUCCCUCCCAGCUAGCACCGUGCUCAGCUAACGCUCCUCAGCGCCGCUCCUUGUGACACAGAAGCAAGGAGAGAGGACAGUAACUCCGGUUUAGCUGCAGUUCCAGAGUAAUAGCAAGCGAUCUAACAUGACUCCUGCUAGUACUGUGAUAUUAUAUCAGCUCCUGCCAACUCUUGUUUCAUGCCUGGGGAGAGGCUGCUCCUGGCCCUGCCCCUGUGCGAGGAGGGCGCCGCGCUCCGGCCGCCUCUGCUCGGGAGCAGCUCGCUGUUACCCACAUCCAACAUCUUAGACAGCAGCAGCAUCUCAGCCUUGAACCUCUGCCUGGAAACUACUUAACUUCAUCUCUAAAAAUAAAAAUAAAAAUUAAAAAAAAAAAAACAGGAAAAGAAAAAAAAACGCAAAACUUUAAACAUAUUGUCAAUCACUUGGGAAAUGUUCAAUGGAAUAUCUGCUUACUAAUUACCUCUAAUCGACAAUAUGUAUUUUCCGUAGUUUAUGAUAGAGUUUUAUUUCAUCAAUAACAUACAGUGAAAAAGAAACUCAUUUAAACCAGUCUGACCCUUAGGCAUUUAGUUUGCUGAUGAUAGAUUUGAACUUUUAAUAGGAUUUAAAAACAAACAAAAAACAAAAAAAAAAAUAAAAGUCUUGUUAAAAAUAUGUAUUUCCAACAAAAUGUAAUAUAAAAUCAUUUUAAAAGCUCAUAGGAAAAAUAAUUUAUUGUUCAAGUUUUUAACGAGAUAUUGACAAAAAAUUGUUUUGUUUUCAUUUUGUUUUCAUGAAACUCUGAUUUUUUUUUUCAACUUCUGAACACGAUCACGUCCCCAGCAAGGGUGAGCUAAAGCUGUGCAGUUAUGAGUUGUAUUUAAAACAAACAUUUUUCUUAAAAGCUGUAUAAAAUAUGUAUGUUUAUCAGAUCAAUUUUUAAGAGUGGAGGCUUCACACCAGUGAAGGGAGUUUGGUAAAUGGUUCGAUAUUUUUUAAACUUGCAUGUAAAUCUAAAAUGUGUUGAGUGCUUACCAAUUCUGGCUACCAACUUCAAGCUAUCAGAAGUUUGGCAGUAGUCUCAUGAUGAUUUGUUUUGGUAUAUUUUUUUAAAUUUGUUUUGCUUCAGGGGCUUUGAGGGUUCUCUCCUUUUUCUCUUUUUUUUCUCCUUUUUUUUUUUUUUGUUUUUUUGUAAUUUAAGUUCCUAUUUUUGGUCGUUGAAACUGCACUUGAGUGAGCAGAAAAAUUGCCAAGCAAACUAAUGGCUGUAAAAGCAUAAACUGCAUGUGUGGACAUCAAUUACUGAGCCUCAUUUUGAUGAGGUGUUGUACAAAGAGUUUUAAUACAUUUUGUAAAUAAAACUGUAAAGAAAAAAAAA